GUUCGCUCGAUGAUAAUGUAUGUAGCUACGCUGCUGAACAAAUAGACCGACGAACCUGGUGGCGGUGCCAUACGACUGUAGUUUGAUUAUGUCAAAUGCAAAUGACUUUUGAGAUAAAUUGGGUUGGUGAGAAUCAAAUCAAAGAGACCGAGAAAGAGGGCGAAACGGAGAGAAGCCAUUAAAAUGCACUGAGAGAGCUUGAUUGAUUGGAAAUGAAGAGAAGCCCAUCACGAAGUCUUCGAAUCAAAUCCGACGUCGAAAACGAAGAUCAUGAACAGAGGCAGCAGGCACUUAGAGUUCUCAAUCAGUUCAUCUC
Cucurbita moschata (crookneck pumpkin) is the source of this 316-nucleotide long non-coding RNA. RefSeq lists it as uncharacterized. Lineage: Eukaryota; Viridiplantae; Streptophyta; Magnoliopsida; Cucurbitales; Cucurbitaceae. The transcript has 2 exons. The record is from RefSeq and is a predicted model, not a curated record.